This 512-nucleotide ribosomal RNA is filed under the name uncultured Bacillaceae bacterium. RNAcentral's name for it is "partial 16S ribosomal RNA". The record is from RNAcentral. Lineage: Bacteria; Bacillati; Bacillota; Bacilli; Caryophanales; Bacillaceae.
CACGUAGUUAGCCGUGGCUUUCUGGUUAGGUACCGUCAAGGUACCGGCAGUUACUCCGGUACUUGUUCUUCCCUAACGACAGAGUUUUACGAUCCGAAAACCUUCAUCACUCACGCGGCGUUGCUCCGUCAGACUUUCGUCCAUUGCGGAAGAUUCCCUACUGCUGCCUCCCGUAGGAGUCUGGGCCGUGUCUCAGUCCCAGUGUGGCCGAUCACCCUCUCAGGUCGGCUACGCAUCGUUGCCUUGGUGAGCCGUUACCUCACCAACUAGCUAAUGCGCCGCGGGCCCAUCUAUAAGUGAUAGCGAGAAGCCAUCUUUCAGCUUCCAGACAUGUGUCCAAAAGCAUUAUCCGGUAUUAGCUCCGGUUUCCGAAGUUAUCCCAGUCUCAUAGGCAGGUUCGCCCUACGUGUUACUCACCCGUCCGCCGCUAAUCUUUGGGAGCAAGCCUCCCUCAGACUCCGCUCGACUUGCAUGUAUUACGGCACGCCGCCAGGCGUUCGUCCUGCGCCGAC